This 468-nucleotide ribosomal RNA is filed under the name uncultured bacterium. RNAcentral's name for it is "partial 16S ribosomal RNA". It matches the Rfam family "Bacterial small subunit ribosomal RNA", at positions 28 to 507 of the family's 1533-position model. The record is from RNAcentral.
GAUGAACGCUGACAGAAUGCUUAACACAUGCCAGUCUACUUGAAUUUGGGUUUUUUAACUUAGAUUUGGGUGGCGGACGGGUGAGUAACGCGUAAAGAACUUGCCUCACAGCUAGGGACAACAUUUGGAAACGAAUGCUAAUACCUGAUAUUAUGAUUAUAAGGCAUCUUAGAAUUAUGAAAGCUAUAUGCGCUGUGAGAGAGCUUUGCGUCCCAUUAGCUAGUUGUAGAGGUAACGGCUCACCAAGGCGAUGAUGGGUAGCCGGCCUGAGAGGGUGAACGGCCACAAGGGGACUGAGACACGGCCCUUACUCCUACGGGAGGCAGCAGUGGGGAAUAUUGGACAAUGGACCAAGAGUCUGAUCCAGCAAUUCUGUGUGCACGAUGACGUUUUUCGGAAUGUAAAGUGCUUUCAGUUGGGAAGAAAAAAAUGACGGUACCAACAGAAGAAGUGACGGCUAAAUACGUG